Molecule: long non-coding RNA, 1066 nt
Filed under: Taeniopygia guttata (zebra finch)
Lineage: Eukaryota; Metazoa; Chordata; Aves; Passeriformes; Estrildidae
Description: lncRNA (ENSTGUG00000021959.1)
Source: RNAcentral
UGUAGAUUUGUGGGCUCACCUGCACCAUCAUGAGCAGCACAGGUACAACAAACAAGUCUGAACUGAGCUUUUCCAUAGUGACAGCAGGAAAUAGCAGAAGCUUUCUCUGCUGAGCUGUGAUGACAAGCUUGUGCUUGUCACGGGCAAAGAUAGGGCUUUAGAGUGACCAGGAUGUGGCUGGGAUGGGAUGCUGGCCAGGGGCUGAUUAGGACAGGAAGGAGUGUGUGCUUUAGAUGCUGCUGGUCUCUGUAGGGUGCAUCCUGACAUGUGUCCUGGCAUGUCCCAUGCCAAGUGCAGAAUGGUGGCCACGUGGCCUGGUUGUCCCCUCUGCUCUAACUUAAUCAUCUGCAGAAGGGGAAAACACAGCAUUGAGCAGGUCACAUCGAGAGAAGAUGGUGUCUGCUUCUCAGCUUCAAGAAAGGGGCUGGGAAAGAAACCUGAAGUCGUGAGUCUGGUGGAGCACUGCGUGUUUCCAAACGCUCUGCUCUGAGUUCAUCCCACCAGUAAGGCUGUGCAGCGUGAGAACUGCUGUUGCAAAACUACCAGAUUCAACCUCCUGGGGAGCCUUUCUGGCCAAGGUUUUACAAGCCAGCACCUGCUUUGCCUGCCUGACUUCUUUCUAUAUUUAUUCCUCUGCACCCGGUUUUUGCCUUUGCCUGUGGAACUGUCACAAACAUUUGUGCUGGCUUUUGACUGCACAGGACUUCAGCUUGCAAGUCCUAAAUCUGCCUUUGUGCAUGGUGGAGGAGCAGGCGUUUUUGUGCAUGGUUGUGCCAUCUGUGUGUCUGAGCAUCCCUGGUCCUUGCUGUCUGCAUUAUGUGGCCUGUGUCCCUGUGAUUCUGCAGCAGUCCCUCUGUUCUCUGUCCCUUCAAGACGUUUUUAUGAAUCAAAUAGUCUCAGUCAUCCUACUUAUGUAAUUUGUAAUUUUUCAUUUAACUGUGCCACCCCUGACCCAGUGGCUGCUUUAAGGCAAAGGCAAUGUGAGCAACCCUCACUCCCCUGGGUUUUGUGUCCCUGUCCCUGCCAUGUGUGCCACUGCAGGCUGCAUUCCUCUCCUGUUCUGUAA